Molecule: long non-coding RNA, 691 nt
Filed under: Apteryx rowi (Okarito brown kiwi)
Lineage: Eukaryota; Metazoa; Chordata; Aves; Apterygiformes; Apterygidae
Description: lncRNA (ENSARWG00000015351.1)
Source: RNAcentral
AGACUUGGUUUCAUGUGCUUCAAGAAGAUCUUCCCUUCUUCCCAGAUUUUUUUUUCUUUAUUUUCCCAGAUUUGCAAAAUCUGAGGCAGGUUUUAUUGCAGAAGACCUAUGCUUUUUUGGGAAGCUCAUUUUAAACCUUCAUUCAAUUGGCUCAGCUGAAGUGAGAUCUUGAAUGAUUUUAGACAUUUGGGAAUGGAAGACAAGGUGAUGUGGAGACUAGAGCAUAGCUGCCUCAUUACUCUUGGUCUAGCCCAAGGUGAGAAACCAAAGAAGGAGGCUCAGGGAGAUCUGGAAAUACCAGCGUCAAAUAUUGAGUACAAAAGAGGGGCUUGAAGAAAUGCAACGUGCAAACUCCAUCAUUGACCAUCUGUAUGUUCCUAAGAAAAACAUGUCUUACAUCCUUCUCUUCAAAUUCACUGAUGAAUAUGGCUAGAGAUUUUCUUACUGAAGACAAUACGUGACGACUUGUUUUUUAACAUUUGAUUCCUCCCAUUUCCCAGCCACUAAGCACCAUGGGUAUUUGCAGGCAAUUGCUGUGAAGUCAGUUUGUUAAGAGGCAUGCCCAUCUACUUAAAAAUUUACCAGUCUUGAAAUUCUGAGUUAAACUAGUGUCAAAACUUGGGAUGGAGAAAGAGGAAAAAAAUAUUCUUUUCAGUAACCAAUAAAAGUUCUCCAGUCAAAAUUUUUCGCA